This 492-nucleotide ribosomal RNA is filed under the name uncultured bacterium. RNAcentral describes it as "partial 16S ribosomal RNA". It matches the Rfam family "Bacterial small subunit ribosomal RNA", at positions 29 to 507 of the family's 1533-position model. The record is from RNAcentral.
AGUGAACGCUGGCGGUAGGCCUAACACAUGCAAGUCGAACGGCAGCACAGUAAGAGCUUGCUCUUACGGGUGGCGAGUGGCGGACGGGUGAGGAAUACAUCGGAAUCUACUUUUUCGUGGGGGAUAACGUAGGGAAACUUACGCUAAUACCGCAUACGACCUACGGGUGAAAGCAGGGGAUCUUCGCACCUUGCGCGAUUGAAUGAGCCGAUGUCGGAUUAGCUAGUUGGCGGGGUAAAGGCCCACCAAGGCGACGAUCCGUAGCUGGUCUGAGAGGAUGAUCAGCCACACUGGAACUGAGACACGGUCCAGACUCCUACGGGAGGCAGCAGUGGGGAAUAUUGGACAAUGGGCGCAAGCCUGAUCCAGCCAUACCGCGUGGGUGAAGAAGGCCUUCGGGUUGUAAAGCCCUUUUGUUGGGAGAGAAAAGCAGCAGGUUAAUACCCCGCUGUUCUGACGGUACCCAAAGAAUAAGCACCGGCUAACUUCGUG